RNAcentral lists this long non-coding RNA (372 nucleotides) under Hordeum vulgare. Its description in RNAcentral is "long non-coding RNA (HVUL_LNC015967)". The record is from RNAcentral. Lineage: Eukaryota; Viridiplantae; Streptophyta; Magnoliopsida; Poales; Poaceae.
CAAAUAUAUGUGCAUAGUGAUCCUAGAGAUCAAUGCUCAUUGAACAUAUAGAAACGGAAUAACAAGAGUCUUACAUCCAUUUCAUACCUUUUUUCUAAAAUAUGGCCUUUAUGGCCAAGUCUUCAUAUAUAUUUGAAGUGGAAAUCUUCAUCGAUAGCAUGAACCCAUGGCAUCUGCCUUAACCCUACACGCAUUCUGACUAGGAACCGUGCUAACUCACACGUACGUCACCAAGGUACUCUUCAUAAUAUCAUGUGCUUUCAUGCCUUGCCAAUAAAAUAACUAGUGGCAAGCCAAUGAGUACUUUGAAUGUACUCGCUACUAGUAAUGGGGGCUCUCUACUAGCAUCAACCAAGGCAAUCAACAAAGACC